AAGUCCCCGGAUUUCAAAGCCCCAAAAAACGAGACAUUUGAAAGGUCCUACUGAUUGACCCACUAAAGCCAUGAAAGUGACCUUUUGGAUUAGAAAAAUGGCCUCUGAGACCCGAACCCGCGUUGAUCGAAGAGCUGCUAACAAAAGAAAAGGGCGAAGGCAGGAUG
Molecule: long non-coding RNA, 167 nt
Organism: Cucurbita maxima (winter squash)
Lineage: Eukaryota; Viridiplantae; Streptophyta; Magnoliopsida; Cucurbitales; Cucurbitaceae
Exons: 4
Source: RefSeq, a predicted model, not a curated record